Long non-coding RNA from Haliotis rubra (blacklip abalone), 443 nucleotides. RefSeq lists it as uncharacterized. The transcript has 2 exons. The record is from RefSeq and is a predicted model, not a curated record. NCBI's taxonomy places the organism in Eukaryota, Metazoa, Mollusca, Gastropoda, Lepetellida, Haliotidae.
GGGCAAGAAGACCAUAGAAUUGGACAGGUGAUAUGCGAACAACCUGGGAUCUAGAUGCUUCUCCCCAAACCGCAUGCCCCAGAUUCAGAUGUUCUCCUCAUGGUCUCAUGAUCAAGAAGGGCAGAUAUUAUAAGCAUGCAAAGAGGAAAUGGAUUGUUUACAUUUUUGCACAAUACAUGUAUGUAAUUUAAGGGGGUUCCACUUUGACUUUUAGUUCUUACUACACUGAUUUAAGGACAAAAUCUUUACUGCAAUAUUACCAUACAUAUCUUAAUAAAUGUAAAUUUAAAGUAACACUAAUUAUACAAGUAAUAUUCGCAAAUUUGUAUAUCCGUCAUGUUUUUUGUAUACAGAAAAUAUUGUAUGAUUGUAUGCUAUUACUGUUUUCUGACGUUGUACCAGGCCUGAGGGGUAGUACUGGAAUAAAAAAGAAAAUAAGGAGA